GACGAACGCUGGCGGCGUGCUUAACACAUGCCAGUCGAACGGAAAGGCCCUGCUUUUGUGGGGUGCUCGAGUGGCGAACGGGUGAGUAACACGUGAGUAACCUGCCCUUGACUUUGGGAUAACUUCAGGAAACUGGGGCUAAUACCGGAUAGGAGCUCCUGCUGCAUGGUGGGGGUUGGAAAGUUUCGGCGGUUGGGGAUGGACUCGCGGCUUAUCAGCUUGUUGGUGGGGUAGUGGCUUACCAAGGCUUUGACGGGUAGCCGGCCUGAGAGGGUGACCGGCCACAUUGGGACUGAGAUACGGCCCAGACUCCUACGGGAGGCAGCAGUGGGGAAUAUUGCACAAUGGGCGGAAGCCUGAUGCAGCAACGCCGCGUGCGGGAUGACGGCCUUCGGGUUGUAAACCGCUUUCGCCUGUGACGAAGUGUGAGUGACGGUAAUGGGUAAAGAAGCACCGGCUAACUACGUG
Molecule: ribosomal RNA, 468 nt
Filed under: uncultured bacterium
Lineage: Bacteria
Description: partial 16S ribosomal RNA
Rfam family: Bacterial small subunit ribosomal RNA
Source: RNAcentral